Felis catus (domestic cat) is the source of this 949-nucleotide long non-coding RNA. RefSeq lists it as uncharacterized. The record is from RefSeq and is a predicted model, not a curated record. NCBI's taxonomy places the organism in Eukaryota, Metazoa, Chordata, Mammalia, Carnivora, Felidae. The transcript is spliced from 2 exons.
UAGAGGGCGGCCAAUGUGUCAGACUUCUUUCCUGCUGAAUUCCCAGAACCCAGCAAAGGGCCUGGCACAGGGUAAAUGGCCAAAAAAUGUUUGUUGAUUAACCCAGAAAGAUCAGCUUUUGCCCUCAGGGUUAGCAUCAAACACCUAGGUCGCUGCUACUUCAAGCACAGACCGUAGCUCGCUGCUGGUCACCUCAUCUCCGGUUUCCUUUGACUCAGAUUGAGAAAGGUCUGCUCUCUACCACAUCUCCUUGGAACUCAAGAUUCUGCGCAUUUGAGACUUUCAGGAUUUGGUUUAUUAACUGCGUGCACAUCCCCUGCUGCGGCAUUUGCUGAUGGGUCUCUUACUGGUGGUUAGUGCUAAUGCAGCCAUAGUUGUCUCUGGGCAACCGCGAUCUCAGCCACUACAAGUGACUCUGCCUCAAUGUGGAUCUUUAUCAGGCCCCAGGCCCCUGUGUGAGCACAUCUCUGAUGUCAAACCUCUUAGAAAACAAGCCCGUGCCCCUGCAAUGUUUGUUCCUUCCACUCUCUGGAGGAAGGCAAGGUCCUUUAAAACUCUGACCAAGGGAAAACGCUCACCAAAUGACUACCCUUGGGCAAACCCACAGGAAGAGAUGGCAGGAGAUACAGAGUUUUACAGCAUCCUCCCAUCAUCACUCAGGGGACGCUGGCUUUUCUUCAGCCUCAAAGACUGCUGAAACCCAUGGAACAUCCUGAAACAGGAAAUGAGGUCACACACCAGAGCACAUGGGUAACCGGUGAGAAAAUGCUGGCGCCAAGAAGGGGGCGGGUGUCAGAAGUGUGGAGGGAGAGGACCCUAACACACAGGAACCACCAGACGAACCACCUGCUGCUCUGGGACAGCCCAGAGAGGAAGGGGUGCACCUAGCUUUAAAAAAUAACCUGCUUUCUUUAAAGCAUAUGCAACAUAAAUGAUUUUACCAAGCCAA